GUCCACGCCGUAACUAUGGAUGCUAGCUGUACACCGUAUCGACCCGGUGUGUAGCGAAGCUAACGCGUUAAGCAUCCCGCCUGUGGAGUACGAGCGCAAGCUUAAACAUAAAGGAAUUGACGGGACCCGCACAAGCGGUGGAGCGUGUUGUUUAAUUCGAUGGUAAGCGAAGAACCUUACCAAGGCUUGAAAUCCUGAGAAGCACUGCGAAAGCAGAGUGUGCCUUCGGGAACUCAGUGACAGGUGUUGCAUGGCCGUCGU
Molecule: ribosomal RNA, 261 nt
Filed under: uncultured bacterium
Lineage: Bacteria
Description: partial 16S ribosomal RNA
Rfam family: Bacterial small subunit ribosomal RNA
Source: RNAcentral